Molecule: ribosomal RNA, 253 nt
Filed under: uncultured bacterium
Lineage: Bacteria
Description: partial 16S ribosomal RNA
Rfam family: Bacterial small subunit ribosomal RNA
Source: RNAcentral
UACGUAGGGGGCAAGCGUUAUCCGGAUUUACUGGGCGUAAAGGGAGCGUAGACGGAAUUGCAAGUCUGAUGUGAAAAUCCGGGGCCCAACCCCGGAACUGCAUUGGAAACUGUAUUUCUAGAGUGUCGGAGAGGCAAGUGGAAUUCCUGGUGUAGCGGUGAAAUGCGUAGAUAUCAGGAGGAACACCAGUGGCGAAGGCGGCUUGCUGGACGAUGACUGACGUUGAGGCUCGAAAGCGUGGGGAGCAAACAGG